Molecule: long non-coding RNA, 237 nt
Organism: Gossypium arboreum
Lineage: Eukaryota; Viridiplantae; Streptophyta; Magnoliopsida; Malvales; Malvaceae
Exons: 2
Source: RefSeq, a predicted model, not a curated record
GGAAAAGAAAAAGUAAAGGACUAAAUUGUAAAGUUUAGUCACAUUUUGUAUCGAGUACUUAUCUAGCCACUCGGGGAUCGAAGGAAACGUCGGAGGCCGAUCACACUAUCAAAGAAAUAACUCGGUAUAAUUAGACGUUUUGUUUUGUGUAUGGCAUGUAUAGAAACUUAGCCACUUUUGGUAUAAUAUGAACAAUGAAUGAUGUGUAAAUACUUGCUAGUGAUUAGCUAAUAAAAA